Molecule: ribosomal RNA, 254 nt
Filed under: uncultured bacterium
Lineage: Bacteria
Description: partial 16S ribosomal RNA
Rfam family: Bacterial small subunit ribosomal RNA
Source: RNAcentral
UACGGGGGGAGCAAGCGUUGUUCGGAUUUACUGGGCGUAAAGGGCGCGUAGGCGGCCACCGCAAGUCGGUUGUGAAAUCUCCGGGCUUAACCCGGAAAGGUCAAUCGAUACUACGGGGCUAGAGUGCAGAAGGGGCAACUGGAAUUCUCGGUGUAGCGGUGAAAUGCGUAGAUAUCGAGAGGAACACCUGCGGCGAAGGCGGGUUGCUGGGCUGACACUGACGCUGAAGCGCGAAAGCUAGGGGAGCGAACGGG